This 440-nucleotide ribosomal RNA is filed under the name uncultured bacterium. RNAcentral's name for it is "partial 16S ribosomal RNA". It matches the Rfam family "Bacterial small subunit ribosomal RNA", at positions 338 to 795 of the family's 1533-position model. The record is from RNAcentral.
CCUACGGGCGGCAGCAGUGGGGAAUAUUGCACAAUGGGGGAAACCCUGAUGCAGCGACGCCGCGUGAGUGAAGAAGUAUCUCGGUACGUAAAGCUCUAUCAGCAGGGAAGAAAAUGACGGUACCUGACUAAGAAUCCCCGGCUAACUACGUGCCAGCAGCCGGGGUAAUACGGCGGGGGCAAGCGUUAUCCGGAUUUACUGGGUGUAAAGGGGGCGUAUACGGCAGCACAAGUCUGGAGUGAAAUCCCGGGGCUUAAACCCGGAACUGCUUUGGAAACUGUGCGGCUGGAGUGCAGGAGGGGUAAGCGGAAUAACUAGUGUAGCGGUGAAAUGCGUAGAUAUUAGGAGGAACACCGAUAGCGAAGGCGGCUUACUGGACUGUAACUGACGUUGAGGCUCGAGAGCGUGGGGAGCAAACAGGAUUAGAUACCCCUGUAGUC